UGAAACUGCUUAGAGGUUAAACCCGAUGAACCUAAAUAUCCAGUAUGAGAAAGUCAUUAUUAUGAGUUUAGGCAUAUUAUUUUAUAAUGUAUUAAAAAAGGACAUUGUAAUCUGUUAAUACAAAUUAGUGUGCAUUUUUUUCAUAUUUUAUAUAUUCUUUUAUAUAGUCAUGUAUAAGUUUACAUAUAAAUUAUUUUUAUCAUAAAGAUUAAUUAACCGUUUAUUAAUUACUAGAUAAAUAGUUAACAGUAUUAAAAUAUAUAAAUUGAUGUAAGAUCGAUGAAUUUUGUUACUUACAUAAUUUUUUAUGUUUUAUAUAUAAUAUGUUGCAUUUAUAUACAUGUACGAUAUAUAUGUUUUUAAAUUUUAAAGUAACAAUGCUCGUAA
RNAcentral lists this ribosomal RNA (387 nucleotides) under Tylotropidius sp. 'variecorinis'. RNAcentral's name for it is "partial 28S ribosomal RNA". The record is from RNAcentral. Lineage: Eukaryota; Metazoa; Arthropoda; Insecta; Orthoptera; Acrididae.